CCUACGGGGGGCAGCAGUGGGGAAUAUUGCACAAUGGGCGCAAGCCUGAUGCAGCGACGCCGCGUGAGCGAUGAAGGCCUUCGGGUCGUAAAGCUCUGUCCUAAGGGAAGAAUAAUGACGGUACCUUAGGAGGAAGCCCCGGCUAACUACGUGCCAGCAGCCGCGGUAAUACGUAGGGGGCGGGCGUUAUCCGGAAUCACUGGGCGUAAAGGGUGCGUAGGCGGCCCUGCAAGUCAGGAGUUAAAUCCCUCGGCUCAACCGAGGGCAGCUCUUGAAUCUGUAGGGCUUGAGUGCAGGAGAGGAGAGGGGAAUUCCUAGUGUAGCAGGGAAGUGCGUAGCUAUGAGGAGGAGCACCAGUGGGGAAGGCGGCUCUAUGGACUGCAACUGACGCUGGGGAACGAAAGCGUGGGGAGCGAACAGGAUUAGAUACCCUAGUAGUC
This 440-nucleotide ribosomal RNA is filed under the name uncultured bacterium. RNAcentral's name for it is "bacterial SSU rRNA". It matches the Rfam family "Bacterial small subunit ribosomal RNA", at positions 338 to 795 of the family's 1533-position model. The record is from RNAcentral.